This 1515-nucleotide ribosomal RNA is filed under the name metagenome. RNAcentral describes it as "bacterial LSU rRNA". It matches the Rfam family "Bacterial large subunit ribosomal RNA", at positions 1393 to 2925 of the family's 2925-position model. The record is from RNAcentral.
AAGCCGAGGACAAAAGUCGUAGGCGAUGGACAACUGGUUGAUAUUCCAGUACCACCUUUAGCGUUUGACUGAAGCAGUGACACAGAAGGAUAGACAGAGCGCGUGACUGGUAGAGCGCGUCCAAGCGAUGAGGGAGUUAAGUAGUGAAGCACGCUUAACUAUCCUGGGUCGUGAUGGGGACUGAAAAUAAGUAGGGAAGCUGUUGAAUUCACGCUGGCGAGAGAAGCUGCUAAGGAGCGAAAGGGUGCCUGUACCGCAAACCGACACAGGUAGGCGAGGAGAGAAUCCUAAGACGAGCGGGAGAACCCAUGUUAAGGAACUCGGCAAAAUGACCCUGUAACUUCGGGAUAAAGGGAGCCACGAGAGUGGCCGCAGAGAAUAGGCCCAAGCGACUGUUUACCAAAAACACAGGUCUGUGCGAAGUAGAGAUACGACGUAUACGGGCUGACGCCUGCCCAGUGCCGGAAGGUUAAGGGGAAGUGUUAGGGCAACCGAAGCACGGAACUUAAGCCCCGGUGAACGGCGGCCGUAACAAUAACGGUCCUAAGGUAGCGAAAUUCCUUGUCGGGUAAGUUCCGACCCGCACGAAUGGCGUAACGACUUGGGCACUGUCUCAACAUGGGACCCGGCGAAAUUGUAGUAUGUGUGAAGAUGCACAUUACCCGCGAUAGGACGGAAAGACCCCGUAGAGCUUUACUGUAGUUUAACAUUGGAUCUCGGUAACAUAUGUACAGGAUAGGUGGGAGGCGAAGAACCAGGGACGCCAGUUUCUGGGGAGCCAACCUUGGGAUACCACUCUUGUGUUAUUGGAGUUCUAACGAAUUGCCGUGAACCGGGAUUCGGACAGUGUUAGAUGGGCAGUUUGACUGGGGCGGUCGCCUCCUAAAGAGUAACGGAGGCGUCCAAAGGUUCCCUCAGAAUGGUUGGAAACCAUUCGCAGAGUGUAAAGGCAGAAGGGAGCUUGACUGCGAGACCGACAGGUCGAGCAGGUGCGAGAGCAGGGCUUAGUGAUCCGGCGGUAUGAGAGUGGAAUUGCCGUCGCUCAACGGAUAAAAGCUACCUCGGAUAACAGGCUUAUCUCCCCCAAGAGUCCACAUCGACGGGGAGGUUUGGCACCUCGAUGUCGGCUCGUCGCAUCCUGGGGCUGGAUUAGGUCCCAAGGGUUUGGCUGUUCGCCAAUUAAAGCGGCACGCGAGCUGGGUUCAGAACGUCGUGAGACAGUUCGGUCCCUAUCCAUCGUGGGCGCAGGAGAUUUGAGAGGAGCUGUCCCUAGUACGAGAGGACCAGGAUGGACGCACCAAGGGUGAAUCAGUUGUUCUGCCAAGAGCAUAGCUGGGUAGCCAAGUGCGGAUCGGAUAAACGCUGAAGGCAUCUAAGCGUGAAGCCGACCUCAAGAUAAGAUCUCCCACCAGAAAUGGGUAAGACCCCUGGAAGACUACCAGGUUGAUAGGUCGGAGGUGGAAGUGCAGCAAUGCAUGUAGCUGACCGAUACUAAUAGGUCGAGGGCUUGACCAA